GUUGGAGGUGGAGGGUUCUUGUGGCUGCAAAUGUGGGGGUCAUGGGAGCCAUGGACCUAUGGGACUAGGAGGAGGCCUGGAGACUCUGACUUCUGCAGCGGGAUACUCCUGAGCCAGAAGCUCUGAUCCGGUCCCUCGUCAGAGUCAGACAAGAGCCAAACCCUGUUCUCCAAGCAUGGCAUGAUGGGAGGGGAGAAAACAGGUUCUCCCAGAUUUGGAUCUCCUGUUGAGGACCACAGAGGAUUUCAUGGUGGCCUCAUCACCCUGUUGCUGGUGUGAAGGUGUGUGUGUGCGUGCAUGUGUGAUGAACAAAGGAGGAGCACGUGACCUCAGUCAAUCCAAUGGGAGUCGGUUUUGGAACGUAAGCCAUAAAGACUGGGAAAGUGGCUCUCCCUUGGUUGCCAUCCUUGCUGCAGCAUGGACAUGGUCAUGGUCAGCUAAGAAGGAAGCCCACACAGAAGGAAACAGUCAAGGGAAGGAGAGAAAAUCCGAUGCCAUCAUCAAGUCCCUCAUCUGGCUAUACCAAAGCCAAAUAAACAUCCCAAACCUCCCAAUUAUGUAAGCAAAUAAAUGCUAUUUCAUGCUUA
Bos taurus (domestic cattle) is the source of this 587-nucleotide long non-coding RNA. The record is from Ensembl. NCBI's taxonomy places the organism in Eukaryota, Metazoa, Chordata, Mammalia, Artiodactyla, Bovidae.